UUGGAGGGCAAGUCUGGUGCCAGCAGCCGCGGUAAUUCCAGCUCCAAUAGCGUAUAUUAAAGUUGUUGCAGUUAAAAAGCUCGUAGUUGAAUUUCGGGAUUGACGUGAUGGUCAUGCCUUAAGGGGUAUGAACUGUUGCAGUUGAUUUCUCACCUUCUGGAGAAACUUGAUGUCCUUUAUUGGGUGUCUUGCGGAUCCAGGACCUUUACCUUGAAAAAAUUAGAGUGUUUAAAACAGGCAUUUUUGCUCGAAUACAUUAGCAUGGAAUAAUAGAAUAGGACGGCAUGGUUCUAUUUUGUUGGUUUCUAGGAUCACCGUAAUGAUUAAUAGGGAUAGUUGGGGGCAUUAGUAUUCAAUUGUCAGAGGUGAAAUUCUUGGAUUUAUUGAAGACUAACUACUGCGAAAGCAUUUGCCAAGGAUGUUUUCAUUAAUCAAGAACGAAAGUUAGGGGAUCGAAGACGAUCAGAUACCGUCGUAGUCUUAACCAUAAACUAUGCCGACUAGGAAUCAGACGAUGUUAAUUUUUUAAUGACUCGUUUGGCACCUUACGGGAAACCAAAGUGUUUGGGUUC
RNAcentral lists this ribosomal RNA (572 nucleotides) under uncultured Glomeromycotina. RNAcentral's name for it is "SSU rRNA". It matches the Rfam family "Eukaryotic small subunit ribosomal RNA", at positions 548 to 1114 of the family's 1831-position model. Lineage: Eukaryota; Fungi; Glomeromycota. The record is from RNAcentral.